Molecule: ribosomal RNA, 253 nt
Filed under: uncultured bacterium
Lineage: Bacteria
Description: partial 16S ribosomal RNA
Rfam family: Bacterial small subunit ribosomal RNA
Source: RNAcentral
UACGGGGGGUGCGAGCGUUGUCCGGAAUCACUGGGCGUAAAGGGUGCGUAGGUGGCCAGGUAAGUUCGGUGUGAAAGCUCGGAGCUUAACUCCGAAAUGGCAUUGAAUACUAUCUGGCUAGAGGGUCGGAGGGGAGACUGGAAUUCUCGGUGUAGCAGUGAAAUGCGUAGAUAUCGAGAGGAACACCAGUGGCGAAGGCGAGUCUCUGGACGACAACUGACACUGAGGCACGAAAGCCAGGGGAGCAAACAGG